AUCACUUCUUGGUCUUUUGGCUAAGAUCAAGUGUAGUAUUUUAGGUAUACAAUAUAAUGACAUUCAUCAUUGGAAAUUUGCACCUUUA
Molecule: small nuclear RNA, 88 nt
Organism: Heterocephalus glaber (naked mole-rat)
Lineage: Eukaryota; Metazoa; Chordata; Mammalia; Rodentia; Bathyergidae
Gene: U2
Rfam family: U2 spliceosomal RNA
About the family: U2 is a small nuclear RNA (snRNA) component of the spliceosome (involved in pre-mRNA splicing). Complementary binding between U2 snRNA (in an area lying towards the 5' end but 3' to hairpin I) and the branchpoint sequence (BPS) of the intron results the bulging out of an unpaired adenosine, on the BPS, which initiates a nucleophilic attack at the intronic 5' splice site, thus starting the first of two transesterification reactions that mediate splicing.
Source: Ensembl